Long non-coding RNA from Haplochromis burtoni (Burton's mouthbrooder), 2444 nucleotides. RefSeq lists it as uncharacterized. The record is from RefSeq and is a predicted model, not a curated record. The transcript has 6 exons. NCBI's taxonomy places the organism in Eukaryota, Metazoa, Chordata, Actinopteri, Cichliformes, Cichlidae.
UUCCUUUUGAGAAGUGUUCGCACAAGACGUACGCAAGACACAUGAGAGCCAAUACUUUGAGGUUUAUGAAGCACAUUGUUUGUCCUCCUUUCUUCAGCGGAUCAUCUUCUGCACUAUCAGCAGCACUUACACUGCAAAUCGGACAUAUUGGCGAGCAUGGAUGCACUAAACCUGUGCUUAAUUCUGCUUCUACCACUGACUGCAUGCUCACAACAUUUGGGAGGAGAGACUGUUGUGAAAACAAUUGGGAAACAACCAGAUGUCACUCAAAUAUGCACCAAUGAAACACAGAAAAUCAUCACACUGAUCGUUUGUAAGAUCAGAACUCAGAGAAGUGGAGGAGAAAAUUGUAGUCUGCUGUAUGACUAUGGACGGGACUUUGAGAACAAAUGUGACUCCAGGUUCACACUGAUGAAGGAAAAUCAGACGGUGUUUCUCCACCUGAUCAAUUUAACAUCAGAGGACAGUGGGAGCUACACCUGUCAGUGUUCAGCUCCUGAAAAAACAAAAAUUCUCCAUCUUAAUGUCACUGUGGAAGGUAAACAAGAACUAAGCAGCAGGUCUGGAACAGAAACACUUCCUCUUACACUGAUUUGUGUAACCGUGUUCAUCAUUGUGAGUUUAGUUAUCUUUGGAUUUAUUUACGCACGACUGUGCGACAGUGGCUGUUCAAGGUCAGAAACAUCUGGACUGUCAGUGAAGGAGACUCACGGCUCUUUGGAUGAAGAUGUCCAAGAUGAUUCUUACACAAACCUUCAGCAUCCAACAAAUGAUCUCUACCAAACUAUCACCUCAGAUCACCGCUCAGCACGACAUCACUACAAAUUAAGAAUAUUAAGUGUCUGCUGUUGUGAUUAUUCAGCCAGGAGAACAGAAGCUGUCAGCCUUGAUAGUCAAACGCUUUUAUUUUUGCAAUAUUGAAACAUUUUGAAACAUGUAAAACUGCACAUGACACAUGAGUAAUAUUGCUCUGAUAUAAAUAUUUUUAUGACAAGACGUCUCUUUCAUACUGGAUACAUGUUUUAUAACAACUAACUAACUAAACAGGUUCACAGAUGUGUCCUUUUGCAAAUACAAAGUAACUGUGUCAAUAUGAAUCCUUGUGUAUUUGAAAGUUUAUGAAAACUAACAUUUCACCAUCGUCAGCUCUUAAUUCCAGACACGAGUUUGUUUCUAAACUAGAACAAAACAGUUAAAAACUCUUCCUGGUUUCUCUUCUGUAUUCAUCUGUUUACUCACUAUUUUAACCUUUAAGGCAUCCAAACAUAGGAGAAUUUGAGGUGUUACUGAGGGGUACGAGUCUUUUUUUCUAUAAAUAGUUCUACAUCAUCCUCACAGCCACAGUUACUUCCUGAUCAGUAUGGUCACACAGAAACUCUGCUGUGCUGCUUCUGAAUCUAAUUCUGUUUUAGCUGUGAAGAUAUUAUCUAUAUAUUAAAUCUUGAGUGUGUAAAUGUCAACAAACAUGGCAGUUUUGUGUGUGACACGCCCACUGAGAUGAAAAUGAGUAUGUUUAGUUUUUGUGUGUGAUUCUGCUCAGUGUUUUACUUUCAGAGGGUCUUUAACUUAAAGCAGAAGUGAUCAUCCAUAUACUUCCCUUUGCAGAAGAUUUCUACCCGCAUGAAACGCUGUGAGAGAUAUAAGAGUUUUAUGUAACUCCUUGAGUUUGCUUAGUGCUUCACUUUGACAUAGUUUUAAUAUGACAGCAGAAGCAGUCGCGUGCAUGCACUUCCUUUAUAGAAGCUUCUUUCUUUGAGGUUUAUUAACAACUCUCAGUACAACAUCGUCUGUACUGUCUGCAGCAGUGACUGUGACACCUGAACAAAUAUGGAUGCACUCAAGCUGUACUUUAUUCUGCUUCUACCACCAACUGCAUGCUCACAAGAUUUAGGAGGAGAAACUGCUGUGAAAACAACUGGAAACAACCAGAUGUCACUCAAAUAUGAAAGACAGAACAUCACCACACUGAUCGUUUGUAAGAUCAGAACUCAGAGAAUGGAAGGAGGAAAUUGUUUUCUGCUGUAUGAAUAUGGACGGGGCUUUAAUGUGACUCCAAGUUUACGCUGAUGAGUUUCUCCACCUGAUCAAUUUCACAUCAGAGGACAGUGGGAGCUACACCUGUCAGUGUUCAGCUCCCGAUGGAACUACCUGUCACUGUGGAAUGUCACUUCUUCCCACUCUAUUAAAAGGACAUUGAACUGUUUACAUGGUUGAUUUGUUGUCUUGCUUUUUCCUCGUUCAUCAGUUUAAAUAAUAAACAACAUGAUGUCCAGGCUUAUACAAGCGAUUACACCUGAUUUCACUUUGUUUUUCAUAUAAAUGACUGUUUUAACUGUUUAAUGUCAGUAGAAACUGUAAACUGUGCUUUGAAUACCUCAGAUAUGAUAACGUAGUGUGUGAUGUGUGCAGAACAUGUUAGAAAUAUGAUAAAAUUAUUAUCACAA